This 181-nucleotide non-coding RNA is filed under the name Lachnoclostridium sp. The record is from RNAcentral. Lineage: Bacteria; Bacillati; Bacillota; Clostridia; Lachnospirales; Lachnospiraceae.
UGGAGAAGAAACAGGACUGAUCCGCUGACUGCGGAACAAGGAAACCGGUGAGAAUCCGGUACAGGCUUGCCCCUACUGUCAGCAGGGACGAAGGACGAAAGAACCAUUGCCUGAAAAGGUGAGAAGGAUGUCUGGAGGAUGAACUGCGAGUCAGGAUACUUGAUAAUAUAGCUUUAUCUUG